ACGUCAAGUCAUCAUGGCCCUUAUGUCCAGGGCGACACACGUGCUACAAUGGCCGGCACAGCGGGAAGCGAAGGGGCGACUCUGAGACGGAUCCCUUAAAGCCGGUCCCAGUUCGGAUUGCAGUCUGCAACUCGACUGCAUGAAGUUGGAAUCGCUAGUAAUCGUGGAUCAGCCAAGCCGCGGUGAAUACGUUCCCGGGCCUU
This 203-nucleotide ribosomal RNA is filed under the name uncultured Thermovirga sp. RNAcentral describes it as "partial 16S ribosomal RNA". It matches the Rfam family "Bacterial small subunit ribosomal RNA", at positions 1182 to 1382 of the family's 1533-position model. The record is from RNAcentral. Lineage: Bacteria; Thermotogati; Synergistota; Synergistia; Synergistales; Thermovirgaceae.